GAUGAACGCUGGCGGCGUGCCUAAUACAUGCAAGUCGAGCGAACGGACGAGGAGCUUGCUUCUCUGACGUUAGCGGCGGACGGGUGAGUAACACGUGGAUAACCUACCUAUAAGACUGGGAUAACUUCGGGAAACCGGAGCUAAUACCGGAUAAUAUAUUGAACCGCAUGGUUCAAUAGUGAAAGACGGUUUUGCUGUCACUUAUAGAUGGAUCCGCGCUGCAUUAGCUAGUUGGUAAGGUAACGGCUUACCAAGGCAACGAUGCAUAGCCGACCUGAGAGGGUGAUCGGCCACACUGGAACUGAGACACGGUCCAGACUCCUACGGGAGGCAGCAGUAGGGAAUCUUCCGCAAUGGGCGAAAGCCUGACGGAGCAACGCCGCGUGAGUGAUGAAGGUCUUCGGAUCGUAAAACUCUGUUAUUAGGGAAGAACAUAUGUGUAAGUAACUGUGCACAUCUUGACGGUACCUAAUCAGAAAGCCACGGCUAACUACGUG
RNAcentral lists this ribosomal RNA (497 nucleotides) under uncultured bacterium. RNAcentral's name for it is "partial 16S ribosomal RNA". It matches the Rfam family "Bacterial small subunit ribosomal RNA", at positions 28 to 507 of the family's 1533-position model. The record is from RNAcentral.